CCAGACUCCUACGGGAGGCAGCAGUGGGGAAUAUUGCACAAUGGGGGAAACCCUGAUGCAGCAACGCCGCGUGGGUGAAGGAGCGUUUCGGCGCGUAAAGCCCUGUCAGCGGGGAAGAAGAAAGACGGUACCCGACCAAGAAGCCCCGGCUAACUACGUGCCAGCAGCCGCGGUAAUACGUAGGGGGCAAGCGUUAUCCGGAAUUACUGGGUGUAAAGGGAGCGUAGACGGUGAUGCAAGUCUGGAGUGAAAGGCGGGGGCCCAACCCCCGGACUGCUCUGGAAACUGUGUAACUUGAGUGCAGGAGAGGUAAGCGGAAUUCCUAGUGUAGCGGUGAAAUGCGUAGAUAUUAGGAGGAACACCAGUGGCGAAGGCGGCUUACUGGACUGUAACUGACGUUGAGGCUCGAAAGCGUGGGGAGCAAACAGGAUUAGAUACCCCCGUA
Molecule: ribosomal RNA, 445 nt
Filed under: uncultured bacterium
Lineage: Bacteria
Description: bacterial SSU rRNA
Rfam family: Bacterial small subunit ribosomal RNA
Source: RNAcentral